GGUAAUUCCAGCUCCAAUAGCGUAUAUUAAAGUUGCUGCAGUUAAAAAGCUCGUAGUUGAAUUUCGGGGUCAAUAUGUUGGUCGUGCCUUGGUACGUACUAGCUUAUUGAUUUCUCCUUUCUGACGAACCAUGAUGUCAUUAAUUUGGUGUCAUGGGGAAUCAGGACUGUUACUUUGAAAAAAUUAGAGUGUUUAAAGCAAGCUAACGCUUGAAUACAUUAGCAUGGAAUAAUGAAAUAGGACGUUCGAUCCUAUUUUGUUGGUUUCUAGGAUUGACGUAAUGAUUAAUAGGGAUAGUUGGGGGCAUUAGUAUUCAAUUGUCAGAGGUGAAAUUCUUGGAUUUAUUGAAGACUAACUACUGCGAAAGCAUUUGCCAAGGAUGUUUUCAUUAAUCAAGAACGAAAGUUAGGGGAUCGAAGACGAUCAGAUACCGUCGUAGUCUUAACCAUAAACUAUGCCGACUAGGGAUCGGAUGAUGU
Molecule: ribosomal RNA, 479 nt
Filed under: uncultured Glomus
Lineage: Eukaryota; Fungi; Glomeromycota; Glomeromycetes; Glomerales; Glomeraceae
Description: SSU rRNA
Rfam family: Eukaryotic small subunit ribosomal RNA
Source: RNAcentral